This 274-nucleotide ribosomal RNA is filed under the name uncultured bacterium. Its description in RNAcentral is "partial 16S ribosomal RNA". It matches the Rfam family "Bacterial small subunit ribosomal RNA", at positions 523 to 796 of the family's 1533-position model. The record is from RNAcentral.
AUACGGAGGGUGCAAGCGUUGUCCGGAUUUAUUGGGUUUAAAGGGUGUGUAGGCGGUGUAUUGAGUCAGUGAUGAAAGCCUGCGGCUCAACCGUAGAACUGCCAUUGAUACUGACACACUUGAGUAUGGACGAGGUAGGCGGAAUUUAUGGUGUAGCGGUGAAAUGCAUAGAUACCAUAAAGAACACCGAUAGCGAAGGCAGCUUACUAGGCCAUAACUGACGCUGAGGCACGAAAGCGUGGGGAGCGAACAGGAUGAGAAACCCCAGUAGUCC